Molecule: transfer RNA, 71 nt
Filed under: Pyrinomonadaceae bacterium
Lineage: Bacteria; Pseudomonadati; Acidobacteriota; Blastocatellia; Blastocatellales; Pyrinomonadaceae
Description: tRNA-Ile
Rfam family: tRNA
About the family: Transfer RNA (tRNA) molecules are approximately 80 nucleotides in length. Their secondary structure includes four short double-helical elements and three loops (D, anti-codon, and T loops).
Source: RNAcentral
CGCGGCGUAGCUCAACGGCAGAGCAGAUGGUUGAUAACCGUCCGACGAAAGUUCGAUUCUUUCCGCCGCGA